CGGAAGUAGUUCAGUGGUAGAACACCACCUUGCCAAGGUGGGGGUCGCGGGUUCGAAUCCCGUCUUCCGCUCCAU
RNAcentral lists this transfer RNA (75 nucleotides) under Bacillus subtilis XF-1. Its description in RNAcentral is "tRNA-Gly". It matches the Rfam family "tRNA". From Rfam's summary of the family: Transfer RNA (tRNA) molecules are approximately 80 nucleotides in length. Their secondary structure includes four short double-helical elements and three loops (D, anti-codon, and T loops). The record is from RNAcentral. Lineage: Bacteria; Bacillati; Bacillota; Bacilli; Caryophanales; Bacillaceae.